CAACACACAGACCUGGAAUGCGUGCUGUCAAUCUGUAUUCAUGCCAACCAAGUGCAAACAGAGCAAACUGCCUGAGAGCAGGGAAGGACACUGAUGUCUGCAAGGACACCAGGCACUGUGUGGCAGCUUCACCUGCUCUGCACAGACUUCCCCACUGAAGAGAAAAUGUCACCCCUUGGUUCCACUUCAACCUGCAAGAAAUGAGAUUUCCCAAGCCACUAGCCAACUGCGUCAUAACUAGGAGCAGUGGUUUCCUCACUAGGCAGACUCUACAAUGUAUCCCAGAAAGUACCUUUGCUUUCUGUGGGAGCUUUGUGUGGGUUGCCGAUGAAAUUCUACCUGUUGUGCUUAUUCUCCACUGAGGACCCAGCUGGAGCAGAGAUGCUUCAGUGAAGCUUUUGACUCAGCUAGGACUGAAAUUAUUCCAGCUCUGGCAAAUAAAUAGCAGCAUGCUUAAGUGAUAUCUACUUUAAUGCAUUGAUGGAUUUGAGACCCAAGUGCUACUGAGGGCUCAG
Non-coding RNA from Zonotrichia albicollis (white-throated sparrow), 515 nucleotides. The record is from RefSeq and is a predicted model, not a curated record. Lineage: Eukaryota; Metazoa; Chordata; Aves; Passeriformes; Passerellidae.